CUCAGUUGCAGUGAGAUGUGAGGCACUUGCAGAGACUCAGUCCACCACCCUGGGCAGCUUUCACCACCCUGGGCAGCUUUUCCGAGACGUAGGGACUGGCUUGCCGUAAUUCAUAGCUUCUGCUGUCCCUUGCUACAUACCUAACUCUCAGAUCCUAGAUGAAAAUGAGACCAGAAGAUGGAAGAAUCUGGAUCUCAAAAGACUCUCACUCUAUUACCCAGGCUGGAGUGCGGUGGCAUGAUCUCGGCUCACUGCAAACUCUGCCUCCCCAGUUCAAAUGAUUCUUCUGCCUUCUGCCUCAGCCUCCCAAAUAGCUGGAACUACAGGCCAACUUUUCUACCAGAUAACCCUGACCUCAUCCUGUCAGAAUUGAAUGGACCAAGAAUUGAGCUACCCUAAAAGGCCAGUUUUCUGGAAAUAGUUUGAAGAUACCGACUCAUGGUUAAAUGUUUCACAUUUACCCUCAGAAAUGAGUGCUACUGUUCAGAAACGGAGGUGCCCACUUUGCUUGUGGGAUUUAGGAGGAAAUGCCACACACUGUCAUAGAAAAAAUGGCGUCUCACUCUAUUGCCCAGGCUAGAGUACAAUAGUGCAAUCUUGGCUCACUGCAACCUCCCCCUCCCAGGUUCAAGCCAUUCUCCUGCCUCAGCCUCCCGAGUAGCUAGAACUACAAGCACGUGCACUGUACCCAGCUAAUUUUUUGUAUUUUUAGCAGAGACGGGGUUUCUCCAUGUUGGCCAGGCUGGUCUCGAACUCCUGACCUCAGGUAAUCCACCGCCUCAUCCUCCCAAAAUGCAUUAUCUCUUCCCAAAAUGCAUUAUCUAUUUCAUUAAGAAAAAGGAGAAAGCAACCAUGCUAAGCUUCAAAUAAAAGCAUGUGAGCACACCUGAUGACGCUAGACCCACUGGAAUCUCGCAUAACUCAUCCUGAACGUGUUGGGAAUCAAGUCUCUCAGGAUUAGCCCUGGUAAUCUGAAAGUCACCAGUCAUCAAGAAGUGGCAUCUCUACCAUGUGGUGCAAUCAUAGCCCUGAACUCAAAUUUCUGUCUGAUAUAUUUGAUGUGAUCCCUCCUUUUAUACCCUUUUAACUUCUGCUUGGAGAGACCCACUGACCUUGUAGCUGACUGUCAGAACUUUUCCUUGCCAGGCCAGCAAUAAAUUUGGCAUUGUUUUGGACAUUGAUUUGGUGGUCUUUG
This 1195-nucleotide long non-coding RNA is filed under the name Homo sapiens (human). RNAcentral describes it as "HSALNT0368619". Lineage: Eukaryota; Metazoa; Chordata; Mammalia; Primates; Hominidae. The record is from RNAcentral.